This 410-nucleotide ribosomal RNA is filed under the name uncultured Flavobacteriia bacterium. RNAcentral's name for it is "bacterial SSU rRNA". It matches the Rfam family "Bacterial small subunit ribosomal RNA", at positions 370 to 779 of the family's 1533-position model. Lineage: Bacteria; Pseudomonadati; Bacteroidota; Flavobacteriia. The record is from RNAcentral.
AAUGGAGGCAACUCUGAUCCAGCCAUGCCGCGUGCAGGAAGACUGCCUAUGGGUUGUAAACUGCUUUUAUAUGGGAAGAACCCACUUACGUGUAAGUGGCUGACGGUACCAUAAGAAUAAGCAUCGGCUAACUCCGUGCCAGCAGCCGCGGUAAUACGGAGGAUGCAAGCGUUAUCCGGAAUCAUUGGGUUUAAAGGGUCCGUAGGUGGAUUAAUAAGUCAGAGGUGAAAUCCUGCAGCUCAACUGUAGAAUUGCCUUUGAUACUGUUGAUCUUGAGUCAUUAUGAAGUGGUUAGAAUGUGUAGUGUAGCGGUGAAAUGCAUAGAUAUUACACAGAAUACCGAUUGCGAAGGCAGAUCACUAAUAAUGUACUGACACUGAGGGACGAAAGCGUGGGGAGCGAACUGGAUU